Molecule: long non-coding RNA, 250 nt
Filed under: Lathyrus oleraceus (garden pea)
Lineage: Eukaryota; Viridiplantae; Streptophyta; Magnoliopsida; Fabales; Fabaceae
Description: Pisum sativum (pea) long non-coding RNA (PSAT_LNC018703)
Source: RNAcentral
AGUUGAUGGUUUUAUGGUGAUGUAGAUUGAAGUCGUGUGAGGCGGGUGUUAUAGUAAUAAUGAAGGAUGUAUUAUGAUGCUUUUUUUGUGUGUGUAUGAUGCAAUGUAUUUUAGUGGAGAAGAUGAAGAUAUAUUUUUUCACUCUUGGUUGUUGUUUUUUUUUUUUUGGAAAAGAAGAUAUGAUAGUUAUGUUUUUCGUGAAUGUGGUAUAUAAAUGAGGGAGUCUUCCAUGAAAAGUGCAAUCUUGGUA